GCGCUACACUGAUGCAUUCAACAAGCCUAUCCCUAGCCGAAAGGCUCGGGUAAUCUUUGAAACUGCAUCGUGAUGGGGAUAGAUUAUUGCAAUUAUUAGUCUUCAACGAGGAAUGCCUAGUAAGCGCAAUUCAUCAGAUUGCGUUGAUUACGUCCCUGCCCUUUGUACACACCGCCCGUCGCUCCUACCGAUUGGGUGUGCUGGUGAAGUGUUCGGAUUGGCAAUUGAAGGUGGCAACACCGUCGAUUGCCGAGAAGUUCAUUAAACCCUCCCACCUAGAGGAAGGAGAAGUCGUAACAAGGUUUCCGUAGGUGAACCUGCGGAAGGAUCAUUGAAUAUGCAAACCACAACACGCACUCUUUUACUUGUGUACCGACGUUAGGUCGAACCCUCACCGGUUUGGCCUACUUACUACACACACACCAUUGACCAACCACUGAUCAAACCAAACUCUGAAGUUUCGGCUGCUGUUAAUCGGCAGUUUUAACGAAAACAACUCUCAACAACGGAUAUCUUGGCUCUCGCAACGAUGAAGAACGCAGCGAAAUGCGAUACGUAGUGUGAAUUGCAGAAUUCCGUGAACCAUCGAAUCUUUGAACGCAUAUUGCGCUCGACUCCUCGGAGAAGAGCAUGUCUGCCUCAGCGUCGGUUUACACCCUCACCCCUCUUCCUCUUCGGAGGGAGCUUGUCGUGCUUGCUCAAGCCGGCAUCAGGGGUGGAUCUGGCCCUCCCAAUCGGACUCACCUCUGGUUGGGUUGGCUGAAGCACAGAGGCUUAAACUGGGACCCGAUUCGGGCUCAACUGGAUAGGUAGCAACACCCUCUGUGGUGCCUACACGAAGUUGUGUCUGAGGACCUGGUUAGGAGCCAAGCAGGAAACGUGCCUUUGGCGCGUAUCUCUGUAUUCGACCUGAGCUCAGGCAAGGCUACCCGCUGAACUUAAGCAUAUCACUAAGCGGAGGAAAAGAAACUAACAAGGAUGCGCUUAGUAACGCGAGCGAACCGCGCAAAGCCCAACUUGAAAAUCUCCCUCGGAGAAUUGUAGUCUAUAGAAGUACCCUCUGCAACGGGCCGAGCUAAAGUCUCCUGGAAAGGGGCGUCAGAGAGGGUGAGAACCCCGUAAGCUUGUGCUUAGUUGCCUCACGAGGUGCUUUCGAAGAGUCGGGUUGCUUGGGAAUGCAGCCCAAAUUUGGUGGUAAAUCC
The sequence is a ribosomal RNA, 1202 nucleotides long. The stretch from base 1 to 334 matches the Rfam family "Eukaryotic small subunit ribosomal RNA", at positions 1495 to 1831 of the family's 1831-position model.